GCAUAUAUAUAGCUCAAAUGGUAGAGUAGCCGACAUGUCUUCGGAAUGUUCUGGGUUCGAAUCCCAGUCUGAGCU
RNAcentral lists this transfer RNA (75 nucleotides) under Cotesia glomerata. RNAcentral's name for it is "tRNA-Thr". The stretch from base 9 to 68 matches the Rfam family "tRNA", at positions 7 to 64 of the family's 71-position model. Rfam says of the family: Transfer RNA (tRNA) molecules are approximately 80 nucleotides in length. Their secondary structure includes four short double-helical elements and three loops (D, anti-codon, and T loops). Lineage: Eukaryota; Metazoa; Arthropoda; Insecta; Hymenoptera; Braconidae. The record is from RNAcentral.